UACGGGGGGUGCGAGCGUUGUCCGGAAUCACUGGGCGUAAAGGGCGCGUAGGUGGUUUGAUAAGGGUGUGGUGAAAGUCCGGGGCUCAACCCCGGAUCUGCCGUGCCGACUGUCAAACUCGAGGGCUGUAGAGGCAGGCGGAAUUCCGGGUGUAGCGGUGGAAUGCGUAGAGAUCCGGAGGAAGACCGGUGGCGAAGGCAAUCCCCUGGGCCUGCACUGACGCUCAUGCACGAAAGCGUGGGGAGCAAACAGG
RNAcentral lists this ribosomal RNA (253 nucleotides) under uncultured bacterium. RNAcentral's name for it is "partial 16S ribosomal RNA". It matches the Rfam family "Bacterial small subunit ribosomal RNA", at positions 524 to 776 of the family's 1533-position model. The record is from RNAcentral.